This 433-nucleotide ribosomal RNA is filed under the name Pantoea sp. F135. RNAcentral's name for it is "bacterial SSU rRNA". It matches the Rfam family "Bacterial small subunit ribosomal RNA", at positions 117 to 546 of the family's 1533-position model. Lineage: Bacteria; Pseudomonadati; Pseudomonadota; Gammaproteobacteria; Enterobacterales; Erwiniaceae. The record is from RNAcentral.
CUGGGGAUCUGCCCGAUAGAGGGGGAUAACCACUGGAAACGGUGGCUAAUACCGCAUAACGUCGCAAGACCAAAGAGGGGGACCUUCGGGCCUCUCACUAUCGGAUGAACCCAGAUGGGAUUAGCUAGUAGGCGGGGUAAUGGCCCCCCUACGCCACGAUCCCUAGCUGGUCUGAGAGGAUGACCACCCACACUGGAACUGACACACGGUCCAGACUCCUACGGGAGGCAGCAGUGGGGAAUAUUGCACAAUGGGCGCAAGCCUGAUGCACCCAUGCCGCGUGUAUGAAGAAGGCCUUCGGGUUGUAAAGUACUUUCAGCGGGGAAGAAGGCGGUGCGGUUAAUAACCGCGUCUAUUGACUUUACCCGCAAAAGAAGCACCGGCUAACUCCGUGCCAGCACCCGCGGUAAUACAGAGGGUGCAAGCGUUAAUC